CGAGCUUAGCGAGCUACGCCGGCCGACCGGCGAGAAGAGCACUGGGGAGCUGACUGCAGACCCCAGGGGCAGACCCUUCCUGCUAGCCGUCCGGGGCGUGGAGCCGGGCCCGAGUCCGGCCAGCGGGCCCCUUCGGGACCCGGUACCCGGGGUCCGCGGAGAAGGGGCGGCUGGGAACAUGACUCCAAGGAGCAGCGACUAGGACAGCGAGGGAUCUGGCCGUCAGGUUGCAGCCUGGCCUGCGCGCGGAACUUAAACACCUAAGGGAAGAGAUGGCGCGCGAUGAUGACGUCAAACGCAAUGGCUCCCGCGGGUUGUGGUCGGAGCGCUGGCGGGGGCGGGAUCGUGACGUUAAGGGCGGUGCCCAGUCAGCGAGGUCUUAAGACCCUCAUUUGAGAGAUGCCUUCCCUGUACCUGGAGGAAAGAAACAUCUUUAUCUCUGAAGACACAGGGCCACAGAGAAGAGUCUGAACAAACAGGCUUUACCAAUUUCCCCCAGUUGUUACCGUUAGAUCAGACCUUUGUCCAGUCAUAUCCUUCCACAAGUUGUCCACUCAUCAACCCUAAGCAUAAAAAUGCACAAGUUUCCUUGUUUGUUUGGGUCUUCAUUUCC
This 613-nucleotide long non-coding RNA is filed under the name Homo sapiens (human). RNAcentral's name for it is "long non-coding RNA NONHSAT010087.2". Lineage: Eukaryota; Metazoa; Chordata; Mammalia; Primates; Hominidae. The record is from RNAcentral.